GAUUCAGCGGCGGACGGGUGAGUAAUGCCUAGGAAUCUGCCCGAUAGUGGGGGACAACGUUUCGAAAGGAACGCUAAUACCGCAUACGUCCUACGGGAGAAAGCAGGGGACCUUCGGGCCUUGCGCUAUCGGAUGAGCCUAGGUCGGAUUAGCUAGUUGGUGGGGUAAAGGCUCACCAAGGCGACGAUCCGUAACUGGUCUGAGAGGAUGAUCAGUCACACUGGAACUGAGACACGGUCCAGACUCCUACGGGAGGCAGCAGUGGGGAAUAUUGGACAAUGGGCGAAAGCCUGAUCCAGCCAUGCCGCGUGUGUGAAGAAGGUCUUCGGAUUGUAAAGCACUUUAAGCUGGGAGGAAGGGCAGUAAGCUAAUACCUUGCUGUUUUGACGUUACCAGCAGAAUAAGCACCGGCUAACUUCGUGCCAGCAGCCGCGGUAAUACGAAGGGUGCAAGCGUUAAUCGGAAUUACUGGGCGUAAAGCGCGCGUAGGUGGUUCAGCAAGUUGGAUGUGAAAGCCCCGGGCUCAACCUGGGAACUGCAUCCAAAACUACUGGGCUAGAGUAUGGUAGAGGGUGGUGGAAUUUCCUGUGUAGCGGUGAAAUGCGUAGAUAUAGGAAGGAACACCAGUGGCGAAGGCGACCACCUGGACUAAUACUGACACUGAGGUGCGAAAGCGUGGGGAGCAAACAGGAUUAGAUACCCUGGUAGUCCACGCCGUAAACGAUGUCAACUAGUUGUUGGGUUCCUUGAGGACUUAGUAACGAAGCUAACGCGAUAAGUUGACCGCCUGGGGAGUACGGCCGCAAGGUUAAAACUCAAAUGAAUUGACGGGGGCCCGCACAAGCGGUGGAGCAUGUGGUUUAAUUCGA
Molecule: ribosomal RNA, 869 nt
Filed under: uncultured bacterium
Lineage: Bacteria
Description: bacterial SSU rRNA
Rfam family: Bacterial small subunit ribosomal RNA
Source: RNAcentral